CCUACGGGUGGCAGCAGUGAGGAAUAUUGGUCAAUGGGCGGGAGCCUGAACCAGCCAAGCCGCGUGAGGGAAGAGGGUACAGCGUAUCGUAAACCUCUUUUGUCAGGGAACAAAGGCGGGGACUAGUCCCCGGAUGAGGGUACCUGAAGAAAAAGCAUCGGCUAACUCCGUGCCAGCAGCCGCGGUAAUACGGAGGAUGCGAGCGUUAUCCGGAUUUAUUGGGUUUAAAGGGUGCGCAGGCGGCCUGUUAAGUCAGCGGUCAAAUUGCGGGGCUCAACCCCGUACUGCCGUUGAAACUGCAUCCCUUGAGUGCGCGAGAAGUAUGCGGAAUGCGUGGUGUAGCGGUGAAAUGCAUAGAUAUCACGCAGAACUCCGAUUGCGAAGGCAGCAUACCGGCGCGCAACUGACGCUCAUGCACGAAAGCGUGGGUAUCGAACAGGAUUAGAUACCCUAGUAGUC
Molecule: ribosomal RNA, 459 nt
Filed under: uncultured bacterium
Lineage: Bacteria
Description: partial 16S ribosomal RNA
Rfam family: Bacterial small subunit ribosomal RNA
Source: RNAcentral